UAAAAAGUAUAGUAAGGGCAUAUGGUGAAUGCCUUGGAAAAUGGAGCCGAAGAAGGACGUGACUACCUGCGAAAAGCAUCGGGGAGCUGGAAGUGAGCUUUGAUCCGGUGAUAUCCGAAUGGGGAAACCCAAUACGAUUCAUCUCGUAUUAUCCAUGACUGAAUUCAUAGGUCAUGAGAAGGGAACCUUGGGAACUGAAACAUCUUAGUACCAAGAGGAAAAGAAAUCGAAUGAGAUUCCGUCAGUAGCGGCGAGCGAAAGCGGAACAGGCCAAACCGGUCUACGGACCGGGGUUGUAGGACCUUAGUUAGAGUUACAAAAUUAAUGUAUAGCAGAAGCUGUUGGGAAGCAGCACCGCAGAGGGUGAUAGUCCCGUAUGCGAAAUACAUUAAUCUCGAAGAGGUAUCCUGAGUACGGCGGGGCACGUGAAACCCUGUCGGAAUCUACCCAGACCACUGGGUAAGCCUAAAUACUACCAUUUUACCGAUAGUGAACCAGUACCGUGAGGGAAAGGUGAAAAGUACCCCGAGAGGGGAGUGAAAUAGUUCCUGAAACCAUAUGCUUACAAGAAGUCAGAGCCCGUUAAUGGGUGAUGGCGUGCUUUUUGUAGAAAGAGCCGGCGAGUUACGAUAUCGUGCAAGGUUAAGCGGAAUCCGUGGAGCCGUAGUGAAAGCGAGCCUUAAUAGGGCGUUUAGUACGAUGUCGUAGACACGAAACCGGGUGAUCUAGCCAUGAGCAGGUUGAAGUUUGGGUAAAACCAAAUGGAGGACCGAACCAACGUUCGUUGAAAAGACCGUGGAUGACUUGUGGCUAGCGGUGAAAUUCCAAUCGAACCCGGAGAUAGCUAGUUCUCCCCGAUAUAGCUUUAAGGCUAGCGUCGAGGUUUAGGACAAUGGAGGUAGAGCACUGAAUGUAUGAUGGCCCCACCUAGGGGUACUGAAUGCAAUUAAACUCCGAAUGCCAUUGUUUCAUACUCGGCAGUCAGUACAUGGGUGAUAAGGUCCAUGCACGUGAGGGAAACAGCCCAGAUCAUCAGUUAAGGUCCCAAAAUGUAUACUAAGUGUGUAAGGAUGUGGAAUUGCACAGACAGCUAGGAUGUUGGCUCAGAAGCAGCCAUCAUUUAAAGAGUGCGUAACAGCUCACUAGUCGAGUGAUUCUGCGCCGAAAAUGUACCGGGGCUUAAGUAUACUACCGAAACUAUGGAUUGGCGCGUAAGCGUCAGUGGUAGGGGAGCGUUCUAAGGGCGAUGAAGUCAGACCGUGAGGACUGGUGGAGCGCUUAGAAGUGAUUAUGCCGGCAUGAGUAACGUUUGGGGGUGAGAAUCCCCCAUGCCGUUUGACCAAGGUUUCCUGGGCAAGGUUCGUCCACCCAGGGUUAGUCAGGACCUAAGGCGAGGCCGAAAGGCGUAGUCGAUGGACAACAGGUUGAUAUUCCUGUACUACUAUGUAGAGUGAUGGAGUGACGGAGAAGGAUAGUGGAAGCCAGCUGUUGGAUAUGCUGGUCUAAGCACAAAGGGGUGUACGUAGGCAAAUCCGCGUACUUUAACUCUGAAGUGUGAUGGGGAGUGAACGCUUCGGCUAGUAGCGAAGUCCAUGACUCCAUGCUUCCAAGAAAAGCUUCUAGCGCUAAUCUACAUGGUACCUGUACCUAGAACGAACACACGUGGUCAAGGAGAGAAUCCUAAGGCAAGCGAGAAAACUGUAGCUAAGGAACUCUGCAAAAUCACCCCGUAAGUUCGCGAGAAGGGGUGCUCACUUUAUGUGAGCCGCAGUGAAGAGGAAGGGGCAACUGUUUAGCAAAAACACAGCUCUCUGCAAAGUCGUAAGACGAAGUAUAGGGGGUGACGCCUGCCCAGUGCCGGAAGGUUAAGAGGAGUGGUUAGUUUCGACGAAGCCAUGAAUUGAAGCCCCGGUGAACGGCGGCCGUAACUAUAACGGUCCUAAGGUAGCGAAAUUCCUUGUCAGGUAAGUUCUGACCCGCACGAAAGGCGUAAUGAUCCCUUCGCUGUCUCGGCUACAGACUCGGUGAAAUUUUAGUACCAGUGAAGAUGCUGGUUACCCGCAACUAGACGGAAAGACCCCGUGGAGCUUUACUAUAACUUGAUAUUGAAUCUUGGUGUAACAUGUAGAGGAUAGGUGGGAGACUAUGAAGCAAUCACGCUAGUGGUUGUGGAGUCAUCCUUGGAAUACCACCCUUGUUACAUUGAGGUUCUAACCUCGGUCCGUUAUCCGGAUCAGGGACAGUGUCUGGUGGGUAGUUUGACUGGGGCGGUCGCCUCCUAAAAUGUAACGGAGGCGCUCAAAGGUAUUCUCAGUAUGGUUGGAAAUCAUACAUAGAGCGCAAAGGUAGAAGAAUGCUUAACUGCGAGACUUACAAGUCGAACAGAUGCGAAAGCAGGACUUAGUGAUCCGGCGGUCCCGUGUGGAAGGGCCGUCGCUCAACGGAUAAAAGUUACCCCGGGGAUAACAGGCUGAUCUCCCCCAAGAGUUCACAUCGACGGGGAGGUUUGGCACCUCGAUGUCGGCUCAUCGCAUCCUGGAGCUGAAGUCGGUUCCAAGGGUUGGGCUGUUCGCCCAUUAAAGCGGUACGCGAGCUGGGUUCAGAACGUCGUGAGACAGUUUGGUCCCUAUCUGUUGUGGGCGUAGGAAAAUUGAGAAGAGCUGACCCUAGUACGAGAGGACCGGGUUGGACGCAUCCCUGGUGCACCUGUUGUUCUGCCAAGAGCAUAGCAGGGUAGCUAUAUGCGGAACGGAUAAUCGCUGAAGGCAUCUAAGCGAGAAGCCUCCUUCAAGAUGAGUUUUCCCAUUGUUUAGCAAGUAAGAUCCCAUGUAGACCACAUGGUUGAUAGGCUGGGUGUGUACGCACGGUGACGUGUUUAGCUUACCAGUACUAAUAGAUCGAGAGUCUUUUUAGA
Spiroplasma sabaudiense Ar-1343 is the source of this 2914-nucleotide ribosomal RNA. It matches the Rfam family "Bacterial large subunit ribosomal RNA". NCBI's taxonomy places the organism in Bacteria, Bacillati, Mycoplasmatota, Mollicutes, Entomoplasmatales, Spiroplasmataceae. The record is from Rfam.